This is a long non-coding RNA of Eptesicus fuscus (big brown bat), 569 nucleotides long. RefSeq lists it as uncharacterized. The record is from RefSeq and is a predicted model, not a curated record. Lineage: Eukaryota; Metazoa; Chordata; Mammalia; Chiroptera; Vespertilionidae. The transcript is spliced from 3 exons.
UCUCCACUUGCCAGAGGCAGCAGAGCCAGUGAAGUAUACCAGCCCCUCCCUGUGUGUGACGUCAGAGAAGUGGUCCAACCUCUCUGAUCUUCCCAGCACCUAUGAAAUUGGACUGGUCAUAACAAUACUUGAGCUGUCGGAAUAAUGAGGUACAUCCUCGAAGAAAGCACAUUCCAACCUGGCUGGGAGUUGCACAUAGGACCUGGGAGCUCACCUGGAAAUGUGGCCCAUCCUCCACACCUGGAAGCUGCUUAUUACCAUGGAAAGAUUAACAACCUUCUUGCAGAAACCAGAGCCGCCAGCCCUUUGAAGACCCCCAGCCCUUUGUAAACCUGCAGGCCUUUGCAAAUCCCCAGCCCACAUUACCUGUAAACUGCCCAUUUGGCAUACUCUUUUGCCUACUUCCCCAUGUAAUCUUCGUCCCAAUAUUAGCAGCUGGCUUAUGGAGGGGUGCAGAGCAGAUUUUUGUGAAUGACCUGCUGCUCUCCCAUACUGCCAGCAUUAUUGGAAUAAAUGCUCAUAUAUGAGCUAUAAAUUUAUCUCUUAGAGUUUUACCUCUUUUCUAUGAA